GGUUCGCGCAUGCGCAACACACAAUACAGCCUCGUGCUGUCAAGUGUACUGACAUGAUAUGAUCGAAAGCAGAGGAUCUGGAUCGAAAGUUGGACCAUAUAGAUCUUUCAUUAAUCUAUAGUUGGACUUGCAGCAGAAUCUCUGCAGACCUGACCCAGCAUUCUGCACUGCACUACUGCUGCUACUACAUGUACUAGAUCUACUCCUUUCAUUCUGUGAUCUCAGAGUACUUCAUUUGGAAGAGUACGCAAAGCAAACUCCAAUCAGAUAAAAGAAGGAAAGGAAUACACCCAGAUGAUCGCACUGUACACAAAAAGCAUUCUGUCUGACCUACGUCACAGAUACUCACGUGUAAUCCAGGGGCAUACAAAUAGCACUGGGAAUACUGCAGAACUUACAUGCAAGGCUGGAAGAAGAUAAGAAAGUUGGUAGUAGCAAGUCAACCGGAUCUCUGGAAAGCUACAUUAUGAUCUGAUUGUACUAUUACUUUUGUUGAACACUUCAUUAUAAAUUAUACACUAUCGUAUACAAUGUCCUGUAUCAUUAAAACAUAAUGUCAAAUGAAGAAUAACAAAUUCAUGUACAUGUACAGUGCUAAAAAUAUAAAUAUAAAUGUUCAAACUGAAUGUCAGUAAUUAUUCUAACUAGAUCUAGCUCGCCUUGACCUUGCUUCUUAGGGAUUCUGUAGCUGUCUGUGAAGGAUGAGGAUUCUUUGUUUAGUAGAACAGUUCACCAGCUUGAUUUCUUGGAACACUAGCCAGCUAGCUACGGAGCGAAUCAUGCAGCUACACGUGCGAACGUUAUUUCAGAAUUAAAACGGGUAUUUCCGUACCGUAUUAAAAUUUUAAUGAGCUGGCUUCCGUUUUCAUUCCGUUUCUACGCGAACUGUUGCACGCAAAUUGAACGGUACGGAACGGGAACUUUUAUAUGAGGGCUACUGUAUAUUAUAAUUCCUGGUCCAUACUUAAAUAGUCAACAAAUGCUAAUUCUUCAAUAAUGUUUUAGCGACAGUUGUCGAGCUAUUUAAUUUCUUAGAUUUUACAGUGUAAAUACUGUGUAACUGGCUGCCACACAUCCUCAAUAUUGGUGCUAAUAAGUUUGGUGUUGGUGUCAAUUGUUUUUGAGUUAUUGGAUGACUGCUUUUCGCUGAUUCCAUUUCGCUCAGUAGUCUUGACUGCUGUUUUUUUUUUUUAUACACUACCUUAGCUAUGUCAUGCAACAUGUGACUGUCAUGAAACUUGAAAUGGAACAAGUGACAUGAUGUUCAACCACGCACAUCCCACAUGGGAGGUAAUCACAGCCCCCUGUUCCUCAUCUGUGAUACGAACACUCUGGCGUUCUACUGUAGUCUACAGUAGUGUAGAUGCCACAUUGCGCAGAAAGUCAUGCCAACCAACUUAGAGAUAGAGAUAGUCCUUGCAGUUAUUGUAGAGCUCUGAGUACUUUGUACAAAGACAGUGUGGUCCAGUUUAUCUAUGCCAUUGUGUGUGACAUCCCAAAAUAAUUUCCUUUUGGGAUAAAGCUCGAAUUAACUGGGGUAUUUCCUGGAUUACUUAAAUAAUUAUUAUACAUCAAUUAAACAACAUUUCGAUCUUACACUUUGUGAUGGGCAAAAAAAACUGGCAAAGAAUGUGUGGAUUUGGUUCGUUGUCUCCUUUUCGGACCCGAGAGCCCAAUUUUCACCUAAAAUGAUUUCUAAUAUACAACAACUUUUCCCCAAAAGUUUUGAAUAAUGUUGUAGCUUAUUCCAGUUGAUGCAGUGACCACAGCGUGGGAUGGUUUUUGCCAGGCCCGUGAAGGCUUCAUUAUACAGUGUGGAGUUGGUUCUAGACCAGUUGAGGUCUCUCCUAGCCAGGGCCUCUCGUCGGUACUGUCUGUCGUACGCGACCCAGGACCCUGCUUGGAAGUUCCGUUUAGCCCUGAUGAUUGUUGCCAUGUAGGCAAAGAGUUAAGGAGCUUUGUCUGGGAACCGUGGUGCGAGCCAUAAGGGAGUAUCUUUCCGUUCAUUGGGAAAUGUGGGGACAUGCUGAUGACAUGUGUUGCUCCCCGGGACCGGCUCACAGUUGCCGUCCCUUGUGAUUUCGGCUAUGUCGACAAAUUCUAAAUUCAGAAUUUUCUUGACCACCCUGGCCGGGUUAAACGGCCUCAGUAGUGUGGAGGGGCGCUCACCUGCCUCAUGAACCGCGACUGAGGCCAGGAGGUGGAGGCCUGCCGGAUCGUGGGUGGGUACAGGUGGUAUGAGAAGGAGGCUAUGGAUGGGACCUGUGGGGAGGUAAGCAUUUGUUUGGCUACCCGUAUUGCAGCUGGGUCCUCGGCAGACGUGGUGGUGGUGGUGCCGGCGGCAUAACCAAAGGUGGUGCAAAGGCCAUUGAGCUGAUAGAUGUUGAUAGUGUGAUGAUAGUAUGAUGAACUCCCGUGUCAAAUUUCUCCAAAUCUCUCCAAUCCGCCAAGCCGUUAGACUGAAGAAUCACGUGCUGCAGCGGCGCAUAGACCCCUUUCGCCCGCGCAAUGACUUGUUUAUAUGAUAAGGAGCCGGGUUCAAUACCCAGUAGUUGCUGGACCUGCCUUUAUAGGUAGCCGGGUACCAACUAUCUGCACAUAUGUGGUCGCUGGGCCAAGUAGCUGGGUACUGUUGCUGCUGGGGGGUGGUCGCUGGGCUAAUCUGAACAGGUCGCCGGGUACUAUUGAGUACUAUCUUAUGUUUGGUCGCUGGGCUGACCUGAACAGUUCAUGACAACGUUCUUACAACACACAUCGACCAAAAAAGCUUUCCACAAUAUUUUUAUUUUCUACAUAUUCCUUAUUUUUCUAAUUCAGUUUCCAAACUCUCCGUGCAUCAGUAGGCUUUGCGACAUCUUGGCUUUAAAAUCUACAUGUUUUCGAAACAGGUCGGAAGCACAAGUGUCAUUGCACACGCGCAGAGGGGGUCGGGAAAAGUGCGUUGUCGUUAAAGGAAAGGCUAGGCUCUACAUCAAACCCCAGGCACAGAUGUCUGUUGCAGAGGAGAUAUCCAGUGUUUUGUUGAGGACUGUGAUCUUGAGGUUGCUCGAUAUAGAUGCCCCAGUGAAAAAUUCCAGGACAUCAUUCAGCGUGGUUGCUCCAUUAUCACCUUCAAAAGGAUGUGGCUAUUCUGAAACAACAGUUUUGCUGGAUAAAAAUAGACGAGAAUCGGCACAUAAACAACUGCCCACACCAAUGAAAACACCGCCCGCAGGUGAUGAUGCCUUGGUUAUCUACAACGUGACACGAAGCUACCAAUACAUUAUAUAUUUGCAUGCCGAAUGCAAGUGAGUCGACCAUGAUUGCUAUUAAAAGCGCUAUAAUAAUGUAUAAGAAUUAUUAUGGCAUUAAUGUUUGAUCAUAAACUGAUCGAUGAUGCCAGAUUGAUUGUGUAUUAAACCACAACAAAUCCCAUCCUUUUCUACAUUUUACCCAAAUUUUUAUGUUUUCUAAUUCAGAGUUAGUAGUUUCCAAACUCUCCGUGCAUCAGUAGGCUUUGUGACAUCUUGGCUUUAAAAUCUACAUGCUAUCGAAGCAGGUCGGAAGCACAAGCUCUACGUCAAACCCCAGAGGAGGGAUGGAAGAUAUAAAACCACAUAAUUUUCACACACUGUAUAUAUGUGAAAGCUAUACUUUGGUUUCUACACACAUUUUGUGUGAUAAUCAACAGUGUAUGAAAACAGGAGUACAUGAAUGUAAAUUAAACCAAUGAUCAGUGGCUCAAAGUGGCCAACGCGAAAUAGGCAAAACAGCACUGUCAGUGCGCUUUCAUUAGUGGGAUCAAAGUGGCCAAUGCGAAAUAGGCAAAACAGCACUGUCAGUGCGCUUUCAUUAGUGGGAUCAAAGUGGCCAACACAAAAUAGCUGAAACAGCAACUAUCAGUACUAUCAUUAGUGGGAUCAAAGUGGCCAGGCCUGCUGCAGGAAGUUUGGAUCAUGCGCAUAAUUAUGCAUGCUGAUAAUUAAUCUUUAAGACUUUAUGCUUCGGUGCGCAUGCGCAAGUGAGGUAUACGAUUGGUUGUGUGUGUGUGUGUGUGUGUGUGUGGGGGGGGGGUGGGUGUGUGUGUGUGGGUGUGUGGGUAUACAAAAAGUAUCAUUUGUGUGGGAGAAAUUGUGUCAACUGUUCGCGUUACUAGCUCAAACGGAAUGCUCACUUAGCCUUAAUAAAUAUGGUCGGCAUCUGAUGGUAUUUUGAGUGUAACAUGUACAGGUAACAGUUUCAGUGAGGUAACAUAUAGAUUAUAAGUGCUCGUGAUCAAUAUGAAUUAUUGGUAAGAUGAAGAAUGAUGGUGAUUAUAGUGAUUAUAGUAUAAUUAUAAAGGGUGAUCUAACUAGUCAUGAGGGCACGUUUGGUUGAUCUGACCUUGAGAAUCAGAUAUGAUGGGUUAAAGAUCUUUGAUGGCGCCAACUCUCCCCAUAUCAACCAAUGUGUCACAAAAAACAAAAGGAAAAUGUUCACACAUGACGCUGUAUUUACUUAGUGAAAGUCAAACUAGUACUGUAUAUUAUGUUAAUAAUUAUGGUAGGGGAUAAUGGUAAAAGUGUGUGGGUUGACACCUGUAUCCGGGUCUCAACCGCAUGCAUGUCAUAAGUCGAUCAUUAUCUUAAAAGUUUUGGCAUCCAUUUGGAUCAUAUUUGUAUACCAUACAAGUCAUGUUUUAGUAAAUUGGGGUCUAGAUUGCAGAUUAUAAUAAAGUACAGUAACUUACUUUAUUUUUCUUCUGGGAUAUCAGGAACUUUUUACCAUGUGUUUUCUAGCUGAUGUUCAUGUGAGCUAUGACUGAGUAUGCAUGGGCAGGAUUUGAUUGGUUGUUGCUCUUUGUAUUUGAUUGUGGUUGAGAUGGUGUGGCCUAAAUUGAGUAAUACUAGGCUGGUGGGAUGUGAUGAACAUAGGCUAUGUGCUACACCUUAAAAUAUGGCAGUUGGCUCGUUCUACCCUUUCCAAAUGAUUAAUGAUAUAUCCCUUUUUAUCCUAUUAUUAUAUUUGGGUAGCUUCAAUAAUUAUUGUGAGUUAUUCACUUGGGGCCAUGUUGAAUAAUUAUUGUAAGCUAUGUUUACAUUUGAAGUCAUGUUGACAUGAAAUAUAGGACUUAUGCUGUAAUACAAGUCAUUCUAGUUCUGACCUUGAAAGAGGCUUAAACUAUAACAUUAAGGCUGUGUUGUUUGGGCCAGGCUUUGUGGUUAUAUUGUAGCUGAUACGUGGUUCUUCUACGUGGCAAGCACAAGACAAUCAUUACCUCUAAUUUUGGUUCUUAGCAUUAGCUUCAGGCAUUAGUCAAAAUAAAUAGAUAGUAGUGUGUGUGUGUGUGUGUGUGUGUGUGUGUGUGUGUGUGUGCGUGUGCGUGUGCGUGUGUGUGUGUGGACUGCAUGCUACAGCUGCUCAAGGAUCAAUGAAGUGGUAGUUAACUCUGCACUAGACCUCUAGCUAUUGGUAGCUGCAAGAGUGAGAAGAGAGCUGUAAGGCUAGGCGGGCUCUGGUGACUUGCAGCCAGACUUGAACUUUUGGCAUCAAUCGUUUUUAACAAGAAUCAUGGUCGAUCAUUACCAACUAUGAGUUUUCAAGCAAAAUAAUCGUGACUUUUUCCCUCGACACUAAAGUAUUUGUAAUAAGAUUAUCAUUGAUAACUGCAC
Halichondria panicea is the source of this 5630-nucleotide long non-coding RNA. RefSeq lists it as uncharacterized. The transcript has 5 exons. The record is from RefSeq and is a predicted model, not a curated record. Lineage: Eukaryota; Metazoa; Porifera; Demospongiae; Suberitida; Halichondriidae.